This 253-nucleotide ribosomal RNA is filed under the name uncultured bacterium. Its description in RNAcentral is "partial 16S ribosomal RNA". It matches the Rfam family "Bacterial small subunit ribosomal RNA", at positions 524 to 776 of the family's 1533-position model. The record is from RNAcentral.
UACGGGGGGGGCAAGCGUUGUUCGGAAUUACUGGGCGUAAAGGGCUUGUAGGCGGCUUGUUAAGUCAGACGUGAAAUCCCUCGGCUUAACCGGGGAACUGCGUCUGAUACUGGCGAGCUUGAGUGCAGGAGAGGAACGCGGAAUUCCAGGUGUAGCGGUGAAAUGCGUAGAUAUCUGGAGGAACACCGGUGGCGAAGGCGGCGUUCUGGACAGUGACUGACGCUGAGACGCGAAAGCGUGGGUAGCAAACAGG